UAAGCUAUGGAAGAUUUCUCGCUGAU
This 26-nucleotide non-coding RNA is filed under the name Mus musculus (house mouse). RNAcentral also lists the same sequence under 1 other name. The record is from RNAcentral. Lineage: Eukaryota; Metazoa; Chordata; Mammalia; Rodentia; Muridae.